Molecule: ribosomal RNA, 207 nt
Filed under: uncultured bacterium
Lineage: Bacteria
Description: partial 16S ribosomal RNA
Rfam family: Bacterial small subunit ribosomal RNA
Source: RNAcentral
CGUGUAGGCGGUUAGGCAAGUCAGGUGUGAAAUCCCUUGGCUCAACCAAGGAAAUGCGCUUGAAACUGCUUAACUAGAGUACAGGAGGGGAAAGUGGAAUUCCCAGUGUAGAGGUGAAAUUCAUAGAUAUUGGGAGGAACACCGGUAGCGAAGGCGGCUUUCUGGCCUGAUACUGACGCUGAGACGCGAAAGCGUGGGGAGCAAACA